Molecule: transfer RNA, 72 nt
Filed under: Stegodyphus mimosarum
Lineage: Eukaryota; Metazoa; Arthropoda; Arachnida; Araneae; Eresidae
Rfam family: tRNA
About the family: Transfer RNA (tRNA) molecules are approximately 80 nucleotides in length. Their secondary structure includes four short double-helical elements and three loops (D, anti-codon, and T loops).
Source: Rfam by way of RNAcentral
GCCUUCGUGGUGUAGGAUGACCACGCUGGGCUAGUACUCCAGAGAUCUGUAGUUCGAGUCCCGGCGAAGGCG